This 271-nucleotide long non-coding RNA is filed under the name Dromaius novaehollandiae (emu). RNAcentral describes it as "lncRNA (ENSDNVG00000016055.1)". Lineage: Eukaryota; Metazoa; Chordata; Aves; Casuariiformes; Dromaiidae. The record is from RNAcentral.
AGCACACAGAGCCCUCGCAGGAUGGUGGGACCUGGCAGCUGCAGCAACCCGUUAUCUCCUGUGCGCGUUGGCCAGCGGUGUGUAGAAGGGCAGACACUCUUCCAGGAGAUCUGCAUUGUGUAUCCCUACUGCUCCAUCCCUUACUAAGGCAACAAGAAUGCACCAAGAUGCUGAAGAGCAAGACAUUGCUGAAGAAGCCUGUGGCCAGCAGAGAUCCCUGGCUGAACCCAGAGCAAAACUCCGGGAGAGAUGUGGCCAGCCCAGCCCUGAG